UAACAUAAAAAGAGAAUAGUUGACCAAUAAAAAGUAACUUUAUAAAAUUCAAAAUUGACGCUUAAAUUUCAUAGGUGAAUAAAAUAAUUCCAAUCAGCACGUGAUGUUGGGGUUAAAAAGGGAAGACCGCAACUUCACAACAUCACAUAUCACACUUAAAUGUAGAUAGCUGUUUGGAAUAAAUAAUUGAAACAUCAUUGUAUUUUAUUCACCAGGGUCGCGGAAAGGGAAACAGCAAGACAAGAGCAUCGAAUACAUCUGUUUCUGAUCAACAGUCACAACAGAAAGCCAGAUCAUCAGCCGAUAUCAUCAAUGAACUCAAAACUAUUGGCAUCAUUUCAAAGAAGGCAGGAGGUGUGAAAUUCUCAGUCGAAAUACCAGACGAAAAAUCACGAAAGAAAAAACCAAGACGCCUUCCUGCUAUAAGCUGCCCAGAAAGACAAAAAACACAAAAAGAUACAAGACUUAUACAAGGAAGCCAAUACGACCGAGAGGAAAAAGAUCUCAUGACAGAAAUAAGAAGAAUUGGUGCUAUCGCGGAAAAAGUUAUCAUUGCUAGAAAAAGUGAAGAAAAAAGACAAAGUGUCAUCGCAAGAAGGGAAGAAAUAAUCAAAAGGAAAAUAAAGAAAACAGAAGACAAAUUAAAAAGAG
Mytilus trossulus (common blue mussel) is the source of this 651-nucleotide long non-coding RNA. RefSeq lists it as uncharacterized. NCBI's taxonomy places the organism in Eukaryota, Metazoa, Mollusca, Bivalvia, Mytilida, Mytilidae. The record is from RefSeq and is a predicted model, not a curated record. The transcript is spliced from 4 exons.